GUCACUUGCUGAUCUCAGGGCAAGAGCUGAGAUGGAACAUGAUGGGUGGAGCUGUGCCAUCGGCUCAGGUCCGGCUCACCUGAUAGAACUUGAUUCCUGCCUUGCUAUUAUUCUCCACCACAGGAAGACAAUGGUUGUAUUUUCCAAAUGGCUGCAACAAAUCUCCUAUCGUACAAGCUCUUCUUACAGUGUGGCUUUGGCACUCCUCCCAUUGAGACAGGCUUUUGUGACUGGAUCAAGAGAGUAUGGAAAAGUGACAAUCUGUGACUUCCAAGGCUAGGUAAGCAAAAGGAAAAGCACUUUUUCUACCCUGUUCCCUGGAAUACUUGUUCUGGAAGCCUUCAGCCUCCAAGUAAGCAGUUUGACUGCUCCGAGGCUGCCAUGCUGUGAGG
This is a long non-coding RNA of Orcinus orca (killer whale), 392 nucleotides long. RefSeq lists it as uncharacterized. The transcript is spliced from 3 exons. The record is from RefSeq and is a predicted model, not a curated record. Lineage: Eukaryota; Metazoa; Chordata; Mammalia; Artiodactyla; Delphinidae.